AUUGAACGCUGGCGGCAGGCCUAACACAUGCAAGUCGAGCGGAUGAAGGGAGCUUGCUCCUGGAUUCAGCGGCGGACGGGUGAGUAAUGCCUAGGAAUCUGCCUGGUAGUGGGGGAUAACGUCCGGAAACGGGCGCUAAUACCGCAUACGUCCUGAGGGUGAAAGUGGGGGAUCUUCGGACCUCACGCUAUCAGAUGAGCCUAGGUCGGAUUAGCUAGUUGGUGGGGUAAAGGCCUACCAAGGCGACGAUCCGUAACUGGUCUGAGAGGAUGAUCAGUCACACUGGAACUGAGACACGGUCCAGACUCCUACGGGAGGCAGCAGUGGGGAAUAUUGGACAAAGGGCGAAAGCCUGAUCCAGCCAUGCCGCGUGUGUGAAGAAGGUCUUCGGAUUGUAAAGCACUUUAAGUUGGGAGGAAGGGCAGUAAGUUAAUACCUUGCUGUUUUGACGUUACCAACAGAAUAAGCACCGGCUAACUACGUG
RNAcentral lists this ribosomal RNA (484 nucleotides) under uncultured bacterium. RNAcentral describes it as "partial 16S ribosomal RNA". It matches the Rfam family "Bacterial small subunit ribosomal RNA", at positions 30 to 507 of the family's 1533-position model. The record is from RNAcentral.